CUUCCUAGACGCCGCUUGCGGACCGGUUCCUGUCACCCCGGGACAGGAAGUGGGGUCAGGAAUUAAGUAACUCGCCCAAAGCCACGUCCACUGGGUGGUGGCAGAACUGGGCUAUCUUCACCCCAAGGCACGCUUGAAGACCUUCACCACCAAGGGUGGGGGUGCUGCGUGGGGCAGCGGUGCACCCCAGGUCCGCUAAUUGGUUUCCGGGUGACCCUGGCGGCGCUCAAUCGAUUUCCCCUCCUUGGCAGCAUCAGCUGGAAGAGGGAAAGCCCCUUGGAAAUCAAUUACAGCCCCUUCGGUCCACCUGAGGGACGGGGCCUUCAGCCACUGGUGAGGGGUGGGCUUCAUGCCUCCAGGACAGGCCCAAGGGCGUGCGCUGCGCUCCCCACCCACCUCUCCAGCCAGAACAUCCUGGGUCAGAGCUGCCCCUGAGGCCCCCGCCUGCCAUGCCCCAGCUGGCACGAAGCCACCCACCUGUACCAGUGAGCGGCCUGCCCAGCCGCACAGCCUGGCCCCGGGGUCAGGAGGCAGAGGCCCACCCCGUGGCUUCGCAGGAAUCUCUCCCAGGCCUUCCCUUGACAGUGCUUGUCUCCCCGACCCCCGCGCUGGGAGGUGCUGUUCACAGCAGGGGAGAGGCGGUGCAAGGAGGCUUCACCCAGGAGCCUCAGCCCAAGGGGUCUCCCUGGAGGACUGGCCAGCUGGUCACAGCACCAGUCCUAGCAGGACAGGCAGCCAAGGAUGCAGAUGAACGACCCAGGCGCUGCCCGCUGUGCAGAAGAAGUUGCGAAAGGAGCGUUAAGGGGGACAAGCCGCCACCCCGGACAGGAGCACUGAUCCAGAACUUUCCAGACUGCGGGAAAAAGCAAAUGGCGCCCCAACAAGGAGCAGCCCGAAAAGAAAACGAAGACACCAAUUCCAUUUACAAAAAGGACAGGAUACCUUGGAACAGAUGUAACAGAGAAGAUGGAGACUUCUUGGAGGACCGCAGCGCGCGGCGGAAGGCGGACCGGCCCAGCACACCGUCGCUGUGGGCCCAGGGGCACAAAGGCCCAGUGGCCAUCAGUGGCAGUGCUCCACGGCGAUCUCAUUGCAAAUAAAACCCCUGUCGCCUUUUUGCAGAAAUGGGAAGGCCAACCCUCAAAUGCAUAUGGAAUUGCAAUGCCCCCAAAUAGCCAGAACAGUCAUGAAAAAGCCAGGAGGGUUUGUAUUUCCCUGUUUCAAAACUGACUACAAAACCACAGUGAUCCACACGGCGGUGCUGGGCCGAGGGUGGGCUGCCCGGCCAGGGAAGCGAGAUGGAGAGCCCGGGAACGGACACGAACAUCUCCCACAGCUGCCUUUCAACAAGGCGAAUGGACCCCUCCUCGGGGCGAACGGUCUCGCAGCACAUGGCUGGGACCGCGGGCCGCGCGCAUGCCCGGGAUCGAAGGUGGGCUCUCAGCUCACACCGCACGCGAACACGAACUCCAGUGGGUCGACGGCAUGAAUCUAAGAACCGAAACCGUAGGACUCCUAGGGAAAAACACAGAGUAAGUCUUCAUGACCUCGGGUUUGACACGGGGACAUCUGCAACAAAAGAAAAGGUAGUUGGACUUCCUAAAAAGGACACAUUUUGUGCAUCAGACAUUUACCAAGAGUGUGGAAAACGUCUCCAGAGAAGAUAUUUGCAAAUCGUAUGCCUGAUAAGGUUUAAUGUCCAGAACACACAAAGACCUCUUACAACUCAACAACCAAGAGACAGACAACCCGAUUCCAAAGUGGGAAAGACCCUGACCACUCUUCCAAAGAAGACCCACGGAUGGCCAGCGGGCGGACGGAAGGAAGCUCGGCGUCACUAGUUAUUGGACUGCGGAAUCAAAACCACCGUGAGUGGCCACCCCACCCCCGCGGCACCGGCCAAAAUCCCAAAGACGGGCCGCGGCUGGUGCAGCGGGAGGCGGAGGGAGUGAAGCUGCGGGCCCCGCGCAGGCGCUGCUGAGCCUACGGUCACCGCGCCGCUCGGCGACUCCACUCCGAGCUAUGUUCCCCAGAGAAACGAACAGGCGGCCGCACGGGAGCCCGUGCCCGAGCAGCGCCAUUCACCACAGACGAGGGUGU
Long non-coding RNA from Ursus maritimus (polar bear), 2100 nucleotides. The record is from Ensembl. Lineage: Eukaryota; Metazoa; Chordata; Mammalia; Carnivora; Ursidae.